AGUGACGAUAGCCUAGGAGAUACACCUGUACCCUGCCGAACACAGAAGUUAAGCCCUAGAACGCCGGAAGUAGUUGGGGGUUGCCCCCUGUGAGAUAGGGAAGUCGCUUAGCU
This 113-nucleotide ribosomal RNA is filed under the name Streptococcus pneumoniae. The record is from RNAcentral. Lineage: Bacteria; Bacillati; Bacillota; Bacilli; Lactobacillales; Streptococcaceae.